This 76-nucleotide transfer RNA is filed under the name Bdellovibrionales bacterium CG10_big_fil_rev_8_21_14_0_10_45_34. RNAcentral's name for it is "tRNA-Asn". It matches the Rfam family "tRNA". From Rfam's summary of the family: Transfer RNA (tRNA) molecules are approximately 80 nucleotides in length. Their secondary structure includes four short double-helical elements and three loops (D, anti-codon, and T loops). Lineage: Bacteria; Pseudomonadati; Bdellovibrionota; Bdellovibrionia; Bdellovibrionales. The record is from RNAcentral.
UCAGGAGUAGCUCAGUUGGUAGAGCAAGCGGCUGUUAACCGCUGGGUCGGGGGUUCGAGUCCCUCCUCCUGAGCCA